AUGACCGGGGCCAAGCUGCCCGAUUUCCAGGCGGGCUUCGAAAAGGGCGUCACCAACCUCAUGGCCGGACUUGCCGGCCUCGACCUCGUCUACGAGGCGG
This is a non-coding RNA of Kaistia sp. SCN 65-12, 100 nucleotides long. The record is from Rfam. Lineage: Bacteria; Pseudomonadati; Pseudomonadota; Alphaproteobacteria; Hyphomicrobiales; Kaistiaceae.